UAAACUAGGAUUAGAUACCCUAUUAUUUUAAAUGUGAAUGGAUUAAAUACUAAAUUAGUAUUAGGUAUGUUCUUGAAAAUUAAAAAAUUUGGCGGUAUUUUAGUCUUUUCAGAGGAACCUGCCCUAUAAUUGAUAAUCCACGAUUAUAUGAACUUUAUUUAUUAGUUUACAUAUCGUCGUAGUUUGAAUAUUUUAUUAGAAAUUUUAAUAUUCUAAAAUUUAGUUAAAAAAUAAAUCAGAUCAAGGUGUAGUUUAUAUUAAAGGAGAGGUGGGUUACAAUAAAUUUAUUUUAGGAAAUUUUUUUUUAAAAAAAAUUGAAUAUGGAUUUGAAAGUAAUUUUAUAUUAUUUAUUUAAAAUGAUUAUAGCUCUAAAAUAUGCACACAUCGCCCGUCGCUCUUAA
This 401-nucleotide ribosomal RNA is filed under the name Bruchidius cinerascens. Its description in RNAcentral is "partial 12S small subunit ribosomal RNA". The record is from RNAcentral. Lineage: Eukaryota; Metazoa; Arthropoda; Insecta; Coleoptera; Chrysomelidae.